RNAcentral lists this long non-coding RNA (335 nucleotides) under Anser brachyrhynchus (Pink-footed goose). RNAcentral's name for it is "lncRNA (ENSABRG00000017981.1)". The record is from RNAcentral. Lineage: Eukaryota; Metazoa; Chordata; Aves; Anseriformes; Anatidae.
UAAUGAAUGUGUAAUUGAAAUUAACAAGCUCCCUUGGAAAAGUAAACAAUUCCUUUUGUGUUUUGGUUUUAAAAUAGAUCUUCAUUUCUUAAAGCAUGCUUUUAAUAUGAGAUUCUGAUGUCUUUCUUGCAUGUAGAUCUUGCCUCAUUCCCCUAAAAUUCCGCCUUCCAGCUCCUAUGCAAGAAAAGGGAUCUCAAGAAAAUAAUUUGUGGAGAAGUUGUAGCGAGAGGACUCAUCUCGGGUUAAAGGCGCUACAUGAUGAUGAAUGCCCUGCAUCUUUGGUGGAAUGCUCCAGCAGAUCUGUAGGGCUGCAGAGCCAGAAAGAAGGAUCAUGA